RNAcentral lists this ribosomal RNA (505 nucleotides) under uncultured bacterium. RNAcentral describes it as "partial 16S ribosomal RNA". It matches the Rfam family "Bacterial small subunit ribosomal RNA", at positions 28 to 507 of the family's 1533-position model. The record is from RNAcentral.
GACGAACGCUGGCGGCGUGCCUAAUACAUGCAAGUAGAACGCACAGUUUAUACCGUAGCUUGCUACACCAUAGACUGUGAGUUGCGAACGGGUGAGUAACGCGUAGGUAACCUGCCUGGUAACGGGGGAUAACUAUUGGAAACGAUAGCUGAUACCGCAUAAUAUUAAUUAUUGCAUGAUAAUUAAUUGAAAGGUGCAAUUGCACCACUACCAGAUGGACCUGCGUUGUAUUAGCUAGUAGGUGAGGUAACGGCUCACCUAGGCGACGAUACAUAGCCGACCUGAGAGGGUGAUCGGCCACACUGGGACUGAGACACGGCCCAGACUCCUACGGGAGGCAGCAGUAGGGAAUCUUCGGCAAUGGACGAAAGUCUGACCGAGCAACGCCGCGUGAGUGAAGAAGGUUUUCGGAUCGUAAAGCUCUGUUGUAAGAGAAGAACGGGUGUGAGAGUGGAAAGUUCACACUGUGACGGUAUCUUACCAGAAAGGGACGGCUAACUACGUG